GAGGCGAACCGGGGGAACUGAAACAUCUAAGUACCCCGAGGAAAAGAAAUCAACCGAGAUUCCCCCAGUAGCGGCGAGCGAACGGGGAGGAGCCCAGAGCCUGAAUCAGUGUGUGUGUUAGUGGAAGCGUCUGGAAAGGCGCGCGAUACAGGGUGACAGCCCCGUACACAAAAAUGCACAUGCUGUGAGCUCGAUGAGUAGGGCGGGACACGUGGUAUCCUGUCUGAAUAUGGGGGGACCAUCCUCCAAGGCUAAAUACUCCUGACUGACCGAUAGUGAACCAGUACCGUGAGGGAAAGGCGAAAAGAACCCCGGCGAGGGGAGUGAAAAAGAACCUGAAACCGUGUACGUACAAGCAGUGGGAGCACAGAGCAAUCUGUGUGACUGCGUACCUUUUGUAUAAUGGGUCAGCGACUUAUAUUCUGUAGCAAGGUUAACCGAAUAGGGGAGCCGAAGGGAAACCGAGUCUUAACUGGGCGUUAAGUUGCAGGGUAUAGACCCGAAACCCGGUGAUCUAGCCAUGGGCAGGUUGAAGGUUGGGUAACACUAACUGGAGGACCGAACCGACUAAUGUUGAAAAAUUAGCGGAUGACUUGUGGCUGGGGGUGAAAGGCCAAUCAAACCGGGAGAUAGCUGGUUCUCCCCGAAAGCUAUUUAGGUAGCGCCUCGUGAAUUCAUCUCCGGGGGUAGAGCACUGUUUCGGCAAGGGGGUCAUCCCGACUUACCAACCCGAUGCAAACUGCGAAUACCGGAGAAUGUUAUCACGGGAGACACACGGCGGGUGCUAACGUCCGUCGUGAAGAGGGAAACAACCCAGACCGCCAGCUAAGGUCCCAAAGUCAUGGUUAAGUGGGAAACGAUGUGGGAAGGCCCAGACAGCCAGGAUGUUGGCUUAGAAGCAGCCAUCAUUUAAAGAAAGCGUAAUAGCUCACUGGUCGAGUCGGCCUGCGCGGAAGAUGUAACGGGGCUAAACCAUGCACCGAAGCUGCGGCAGCGACGCUUAUGCGUUGUUGGGUAGGGGAGCGUUCUGUAAGCCUGCGAAGGUGUGCUGUGAGGCAUGCUGGAGGUAUCAGAAGUGCGAAUGCUGACAUAAGUAACGAUAAAGCGGGUGAAAAGCCCGCUCGCCGGAAGACCAAGGGUUCCUGUCCAACGUUAAUCGGGGCAGGGUGAGUCGACCCCUAAGGCGAGGCCGAAAGGCGUAGUCGAUGGGAAACAGGUUAAUAUUCCUGUACUUGGUGUUACUGCGAAGGGGGGACGGAGAAGGCUAUGUUGGCCGGGCGACGGUUGUCCCGGUUUAAGCGUGUAGGCUGGU
RNAcentral lists this ribosomal RNA (1312 nucleotides) under Escherichia coli. Its description in RNAcentral is "partial 23S ribosomal RNA". It matches the Rfam family "Bacterial large subunit ribosomal RNA", at positions 176 to 1529 of the family's 2925-position model. The record is from RNAcentral. Lineage: Bacteria; Pseudomonadati; Pseudomonadota; Gammaproteobacteria; Enterobacterales; Enterobacteriaceae.